AACGCAAAUUGCACUCCCUGGUAUUCCGGGGAGUAUGCCUGUUUGAGGGUCGUUAGAAUAAAAAUCGAGGCGUCGCUCUUUUUUUGAAGGGUGAUCGAGUCGGAAUUGAGCCGUCUUUCAAAUGUUAAUUCAUGUCAAAGUGGCUUAAAAUUCAUCCAUCCGGUACGAUUAAAGCGUAUUUAAGAUCAAUUUUGAUUAAGAACGCGCGAUGACGUACCAUCUCAUGUAGUACGUUUGACCUGUCGUCGUCAGGAUCAUUCGUAUACGAUACUCAACUUUUGACCUCAAAUCAGGUAAGAAUACCCGCUGAACUUAA
Molecule: ribosomal RNA, 316 nt
Filed under: uncultured Glomus
Lineage: Eukaryota; Fungi; Glomeromycota; Glomeromycetes; Glomerales; Glomeraceae
Description: eukaryotic LSU rRNA
Rfam family: 5.8S ribosomal RNA (bases 1-52)
Source: RNAcentral